This 648-nucleotide ribosomal RNA is filed under the name Thaxterogaster mariae. RNAcentral's name for it is "eukaryotic LSU rRNA". The stretch from base 248 to 401 matches the Rfam family "5.8S ribosomal RNA". The record is from RNAcentral. Lineage: Eukaryota; Fungi; Basidiomycota; Agaricomycetes; Agaricales; Cortinariaceae.
CUGCGGAAGGAUCAUUAUUGAAAUGAACCCGAUGAGUUGCUGCUGGCUCUCCAGGGAGCAUGUGCACACUUGUCGUCUUUAUGUCUCCACCUGUGCAUCUUUUGUAGAUCUGGACAAUCUCUCUGAGUGCUAGCACUUAGGUUUGAGGAUUGAUUCCUUGUGUUUUCAGAUCUAUGUUUUCUUCAAAUAUCCCCAAUGCAUGUUAUAGAAUGUCGUAAAUAGGCCUUUGUGCCUAUGAACCUUAUACAACUUUCAGCAACGGAUCUYUUGGCUCUCGCAUCGAUGAAGAACGCAGCGAAAUGCGUUAAGUAAUGUGAAUUGCAGAAUUCAGUGAAUCAUCGAAUCUUUGAACGCACCUUGCGCUCCUUGGUAUUCCGAGGAGCAUGCCUGUUUGAGUGUCAUUAAUAUAUAUAUCAACCUCCUUUUGUUUGUGGAGUGUUGGAUGUGGGGGUUUUUUUUUUUGCUGGUCUUUCUGAGGUCAGCUCCCCUGAAAUACAUUAGCGGGAACCAUUUUGUAGAUCGUUCAUUGGUGUGAUAACUAUCUACGCUAUUGACGUGAAGCAGGGUUCAGCUUCUAAUAGUCCAUUGACUUGGACAAAUUUUCAUUAAUGUGACCUCAAAUCAGGUAGGACUACCCGCUGAACUUAA